CCUACGGGAGGCAGCAGUGGGGAAUAUUGGACAAUGGGGGCAACCCUGAUCCAGCCAUGCCGCGUGUGUGAAGAAGGCCCUCGGGUUGUAAAGCACUUUCAGUGAGGAAGAACGCCUGGUGGUUAAUACCCAUCAGGAAAGACAUCACUCACAGAAGAAGCACCGGCUAACUCCGUGCCAGCAGCCGCGGUAAUACGGAGGGUGCGAGCGUUAAUCGGAAUUACUGGGCGUAAAGCGCGCGUAGGUGGCUUGAUAAGCCGGUUGUGAAAGCCCCGGGCUCAACCUGGGAACGGCAUCCGGAACUGUCAAGCUAGAGUGCAGGAGAGGAAGGUAGAAUUCCCGGUGUAGAGGUGAAAUGCGUAGAGAUCGGGAGGAAUACCAGUGGCGAAGGCGGCCUUCUGGACUGACACUGACACUGAGGUGCGAAAGCGUGGGUAGCAAACAGGAUUAGAUACACCGGUAGUC
This 465-nucleotide ribosomal RNA is filed under the name Vreelandella stevensii. Its description in RNAcentral is "partial 16S ribosomal RNA". It matches the Rfam family "Bacterial small subunit ribosomal RNA", at positions 338 to 795 of the family's 1533-position model. The record is from RNAcentral. Lineage: Bacteria; Pseudomonadati; Pseudomonadota; Gammaproteobacteria; Oceanospirillales; Halomonadaceae.